Molecule: unclassified non-coding RNA, 441 nt
Filed under: uncultured bacterium
Lineage: Bacteria
Description: contains 16S-23S intergenic spacer region
Rfam family: Bacterial small subunit ribosomal RNA
Source: RNAcentral
UAACGCGAAGAACCUUACCUAAACUUGACAUCCUUUUGACCGGAGGGUAAUGCCUCCCUCACUAGCUUGCUAGUGCAAAAGUGACAGGUGGUGCAUGGUUGUCGUCAGCUCGUGUCGUGAGAUGUUGGGUUAAGUCCCGCAACGAGCGCAACCCCUAUCUUUAGUAGCCAUCAUUAAGUUGGGCACUCUAGAGAGACUGCCAGGGAUAACCUGGAGGAAGGUGGGGAUGACGUCAAAUCAUCAUGCCCCUUAUGUUUAGGGCUACACACGUGCUACAAUGGGUGCUACAAAGGGAAGCAAAUCCGCGAGGCCGAGCAAAUCUCAAAAAAGCACUCCCAGUUCGGAUUGUAGUCUGCAACUCGACUACAUGAAGUUGGAAUCGCUAGUAAUCGCGAAUCAGAAUGUCGCGGUGAAUACGUUCCCGGGUCUUGUACACACCGA